Molecule: ribosomal RNA, 912 nt
Filed under: uncultured Bacillota bacterium
Lineage: Bacteria; Bacillati; Bacillota
Description: bacterial SSU rRNA
Rfam family: Bacterial small subunit ribosomal RNA
Source: RNAcentral
CAAGUCGAACGAUUAAAGCUCCCUUCGGGGAGUGCAUAAAGUGGCGCACGGGUGAGUAACACGUAAGUAAUCUACCCUCGGGUGGGGAAUAACGUUCGGAAACGGACGCUAAUACCGCAUAAUGCAGCGGCACCGCAAGGUGACAGUUGUUAAAGAUUUAUUGCCUGGGGAGGAGCUUGCGGCAGAUUAGCUUGUUGGUAAGGUAACGGCUUACCAAGGCUACGAUCUGUAUCCGGUCUAAGAGGACGGUCGGACACACUGACACUGAAUAACGGGUCAGACUCCUACGGGAGGCAGCAGUCGGGAAUUUUGGGCAAUGGGGGAAACCCUGACCCAGCAACGCCGCGUGAAGGAUGAAGUAUUUCGGUAUGUAAACUUCGAAAGAAUAGGAAGAAUUAAUGACGGUACUAUUUAUAAGGUCCGGCUAACUACGUGCCAGCAGCCGCGGUAAUACGUAGGGACCAAGCGUUGUUCGGAUUUACUGGGCGUAAAGGGCGCGUAGGCGGCGCGGUAAGUCACUUGUGAAAUCUCUGAGCUUAACUCAGAACGGCCAAGUGAUACUGCAGUGCUAGAGUGUGGAAGGGGCAAUCGGAAUUCUUGGUGUAGCGGUGAAAUGCGUAGAUAUCAAGAGGAACACCUGAGGUGAAGACGGGUUGCUGGGCCAACACUGACGCUGAUGCGCGAAAGCCAGGGGAGCAAACGGGAUUAGAUACCCCGGUAGUCCUGGCCCUAAACGAUGAAUACUUGGUGUCUGGAGUUUUAAUGCUCCGGGUGCCGUCGCUAACGUUUUUAGUAUUCCGCCUGGGGAGUACGCUCGCAAGAGUGAAACUCAAAGGAAUUGACGGGGACCCGCACAAGCGGUGGAGCAUGUGGUUUUAAUUCGACGCACCGCGAAGAACCUUACCUGGACUA